RNAcentral lists this ribosomal RNA (490 nucleotides) under uncultured bacterium. RNAcentral's name for it is "partial 16S ribosomal RNA". It matches the Rfam family "Bacterial small subunit ribosomal RNA", at positions 30 to 507 of the family's 1533-position model. The record is from RNAcentral.
AUUGAACGCUGGCGGCAGGCCUGACACAUGCAAGUCGAACGGUAACAGAAAGCAGCUUGCUGCUUUGCUGACGAGUGGCGGACGGGUGAGUAAUGUCUGGGAAACUGCCUGAUGGAGGGGGAUAACUACUGGAAACGGUAGCUAAUACCGCAUAACGUCGCAAGACCAAAGAGGGGGACCUUCGGGCCUCUUGCCAUCGGAUGUGCCCAGAUGGGAUUAGCUAGUAGGUGGGGUAACGGCUCACCUAGGCGACGAUCCCUAGCUGGUCUGAGAGGAUGACCAGCCACACUGGAACUGAGACACGGUCCAGACUCCUACGGGAGGCAGCAGUGGGGAAUAUUGCACAAUGGGCGCAAGCCUGAUGCAGCCAUGCCGCGUGUAUGAAGAAGGCCUUCGGGUUGUAAAGUACUUUCAGCGGGGAGGAAGGGAGUAAAGUUAAUACCUUUGCUCAUUGACGUUACCCGCAGAAGAAGCACCGGCUAACUCCGUG